This 459-nucleotide ribosomal RNA is filed under the name uncultured bacterium. Its description in RNAcentral is "partial 16S ribosomal RNA". It matches the Rfam family "Bacterial small subunit ribosomal RNA", at positions 338 to 795 of the family's 1533-position model. The record is from RNAcentral.
CCUACGGGCGGCAGCAGUGAGGAAUAUUGGUCAAUGGCCGGAAGGCUGAACCAGCCAAGCCGCGUGAAGGACGAAGGUGCCAAGCAUUGUAAACUUCUUUUGUCAAGGGACAAAAUCAGGCUCGAGAGCCUGACCGAGGGUACUUGAAGAAAAAGCAUCGGCUAACCCCGUGCCAGCGGCCGCGGUAAUACGGAGGAUGCGAGGGUUAUCCGGAUUUAUUGGGUUUAAAGGGUGCGUAGGGGGGCUGUUAAGGCAGCGGUAAAAGCCCGGGGCUAAACCUCGGCGAGCCGUUGAAACUGGGUGUCUUGAGAGGUCGAGAGGUAGGCGGAAUGCGCAGUGUAGCGGUGAAAUGCUUAGAUAUUGCGCAGAACUCCGAUUGCGAAGGCAGCAUACCGGCGGCGAUCUGACGCUGAGGCACGAAAGCGUGGGUAUCGAACAGGAUUAGAUACCCGUGUAGUC